UAGAGUUUGAUCCUGGCUCAGAAUCAACGCUGGCGGCGUGCCUCAGACAUGCAAGUCGAACGAUUAAAGCUCCCUUCGGGGAGUGCAUAAAGUGGCGCACGGGUGAGUAACACGUAAGUAAUCUACCUUCGGGUGGGGAAUAACGUUCGGAAACGAACGCUAAUACCGCAUAAUGCAGCGGCAUCGCAAGAUGACAGUUGUUAAAGGAGCAAUCCGCUUGAAGAGGAGCUUGCGGCAGAUUAGGUAGUUGGUAAGGUAAUGGCUUACCAAGCCUGCGAUCUGUAUCCGGUCUAAGAGGACGGUCGGACACACUGACACUGAACAACGGGUCAGACUCCUACGGGAGGCAGCAGUCGGGAAUUUUGGGCAAUGGGCGAAAGCCUGACCCAGCAACGCCGCGUGAAGGAUGAAGUAUUUCGGUAUGUAAACUUCGAAAGAAUGGGAAGAAUAAAUGACGGUACCAUUUAUAAGCUCCGGCUAACUACGUGCCAGCAGCCCCGGUCAA
Molecule: ribosomal RNA, 505 nt
Filed under: uncultured bacterium
Lineage: Bacteria
Description: bacterial SSU rRNA
Rfam family: Bacterial small subunit ribosomal RNA
Source: RNAcentral